GUUAAACAAGACAAUCAUGAAAUGAUGUUUAAUGAAUUUUCUUUCUACAGAGCAAUUUCAGUGAAAGUGACUUCACAAAAGGCCUACUCACCAGCUCCUCUAGCUCAUGCCGAAGUGUGAAUGCCCUGUUGGCCAUGCCUUUGAAGACAGGAUCAGCUGUUUGGAGAUCUUUCUGAAGAACAUAUAGGGACUUGACACUUAAAGAGCAACUUACAUGGUCAACUGGGAUCAUCAGAAGUGGAUUGGCUAUCACGCUGUUGGAGAUAUCUUUUGCCCUGGAUUUUUUGGAGCCAUCAGCAAGCUGAUAGGUGCAUUUGCACCAUUUUCGUGAUUGUAUCCGAUGCCACUACUAUCUACAAUUCAUUUGACAUUCCAAGUUGAGUCAUGCAGCUCCUAACUAAAUAUUUCCGGGAAAAGCAGUUA
Long non-coding RNA from Patiria miniata (bat star), 423 nucleotides. RefSeq lists it as uncharacterized. The record is from RefSeq and is a predicted model, not a curated record. The transcript is spliced from 3 exons. Lineage: Eukaryota; Metazoa; Echinodermata; Asteroidea; Valvatida; Asterinidae.